GAUUCAGAAGUUUAAGAGGUUAAACCUGUCCCACUAUGACCAUCUUACUAAGUUGAUUAUCUUAGGAAGAAUUUUUGUUUCAUUAACGCCCGACAUCAUUGAAUUCCCUCCAAACCUUAUCUACCUUUGCCUUGGACACGCGGUAUUCAUUGAGGAUCCAAUGAAGGUACUAAAGGAACUACCCAGAUUAGAGAUCCUUGGUUUGAUGUAUUGUAAUUACAGCCAAUCAAUCACGUUCGAUUUCUCAGGAGAGAACAGCUUUCCAGAGCUUCAAGUUUUGUCAAUUAUAGGAGUUACUGUAGACAGAAUUCCGGAGUUGAUUGUGGAUCAAACAGGGAUGCCAAAGCUUUACAAGUUUGAGUGCUCCGAAAAAGACUUAAAUGUUCCCGAGAGACUACGUAAAAUAAUGGUGGAGUCUUCCUUGUUCCCGAGUAUUGAAGAGGUUAGUGUGCUUGUUCUAGAUCUUAUUAUGGUUUAUACUGUUUCUUCCUUGUUUUCUCCUUUCCUUAAAAUAAAAUAUUGAAAUACUCUUUUCUUUUUCCGUACAAUAUUGUGGAGAUAUAAAUUUAAAAUUUAACAUAAUCCAAAAUUUUUCUUUUAAGCAAAUUUAUAAUUCAAACACAGAGAUUAAUAAUUAGUUAACUGGAGUAGACGAUAUUGAAUACAAUUGAGGGAUGUGUUUCAAAAAUUUUAGUUGUUAUAUUCAAUCAAGAUUACCAAACACAGAAAGAUGGGAUAAGAGUUUUUGAACCAAAGUCAUUCAUAAUUCAAGAUGUUAGGAUUAUUUUGCACUAGUAUGCAUCAUGCUUUUAUUUAUAUAUUUUUGUAACCAUCUAUUACAAAAAUAAUAAUAGCUAAUGCUUUGGGUAUUUGUUUGAGUUUAAAUUGAUAGAACUCAUUGAUGAUUAGUUUCAUAAUACAGGAGCACUUGAUUUAUUUAAUUUUGUUUGUUUGUCUUAUGUGUUGGUGGUAGCUUUGAAUCAACAAAAAGAGGAGGCUUAUCAAGGUGGACUUCUUGAGUAUUCAUCUUUUUUACUUGUCAAAAGUGAAUAUGGACAUUAUAGUGCUUUCUUGCUGCACCAAUAAUAGGUGUCGAUGUGUCAUACGAUUUAGUAUCGGUGGUAGUCAUGCUUUUCGUGAGUUUCAUGUCAUUUUAGUGUGUUUUCUUUAGUUUGCUUGUGAGUGAUCAUGUUCAAUAUUUUUUGUUACUUUGUAAAAUAUUUGUCCUUGGACAAUGUUCUCACUUUCUUGACAAUAAAUUUGUAUUUUCUAGAAAUUCACUAUUGAAUAAUCUUAUUUAUUUUUUAAUCAUUAAAUGAAUAUCUCACAUAAAGACUUUUAAUUCUUCUCGAGUCGUGAUUGGCCAUAAACAAUGAGAGUUUAUCUGUAUGAAUGAUGUAGAUGUUUUCCAAAUCUCGGUAGACUAGGAUACCAUAUCAUCUGCCUAUGUAAUGUUGUUGUUUUUUUCUUUUUUCUUUUCUUUUUUCUCUUUGUUAUGACGGGGGACCUACAGUCGCUACCCUUUGGGUGCGUACUAGGUAAACCUACAAAUUGACACAAUAGCUUCCGAACCACGCUAGCCAGGUAAACAGUGCUAGACAAGUCCCGUGCGACAGGCUCAACCGAGAAAGUACUGGUAGGAGGAAACGAACUUGUGACCAAAUGUCUCUGCGCUCACAUACUUUACCAAUUCGACCACCCUAUGAGAGGCUCUUACCUGGGUGUGUGCUUGGUUAUUCGUGCUUAGUUCCUUUAAUUAUUUUUGAACAAUUAAAGGAUUAUUAAAGUCAUUCAAGCAACACUCAAGCCGAAAACAUGCACAGAAACCAAUUGUACCACUUAUUAUUUUUGAACAAAAGACAACUGAGGAUUACAAAUUUAAAUACUCCUUAAAUACUAAAUAAAGGCCAAACAACUAAAAGAAAGACAAUACUUAAAAUUUUUUAAUCAAAAUUGCAAGUGGAAUACAUUAUUUGGUCUUUAUUCAGUUUAUACGUAUUGGAUAUAUUUAUUUUUAUCGUAAUACACAAUCUUAUUUCAUCAUCAAUUUGGACAAAACUAAUGCUUCAACUAGGGAUGGCAAUGGGCCGAGGGUAAGCUCGGCUCGAGCUCGUGAAAAACAAGUGGAGCUCGAGCUCGGCUCGUUGCUCGGGCCCACGAGCUCGUGAGCUCACGAGCCACGAGCUCACAGGUUGAGCCCAUGAGCCGCUCCUGAGCUCAUGAUUUUUUUAAAUUUUUUUCUUUUUGUAAAUUUGCACAUUUUUUUACGAGCUUGACGGUUCACGAGCCGCUCGCGGGCUCGGCUUGUGGAAUUGAGCCCCCCGCUCGGCUUAGGCUCUUCAAAUCGUCCACGAGCCGAAUUUUAAAGAGCCGACGAGCCACUCGACCCGUUUGACAUCCCUAGCUUCAACCAUUAAUCGAUUUUUGUAUAUCGUUUCCAAUUUUUGAGUUAUUGGUGCAUUAUUUCGAAUGUGGCGUGCCAAACAAGUUAGUUAAGAUUACCUAAAGAUCUUAGGGUCCGUUUGAUUGUAAAGAUGAAAUUCGGGUGAAAAUAAAACGAAUUCCAAAGUAUUGAAUUGCCUAAAAAUUAUUUUAUUGGGAAUUGUUAUUUAUUGUGUUUGAUUUGUAUAAUUUUUCUCCUGAAAAAUGUUGAAAUAAAAGUGUUUUUGGUGUUCGUUUGGAUUUGUUUUAUAUAAAAAUUGUCAAUUAAAGGAAUUAAAUUUACUGGUAUUGGAAAUAGAAUUUGUUUCCAUUGUUAAAAAAAAAAAGCCCAAAAAAAUCAUCUAUCUUUUGGUGUUCGUUUGAUUUUAUUUUACAUGAAAAUUGUGAAUUUAUUUUCCUUUACAAUUAGGGAUAGAAUUUGUUUCCAUUGCUAAAAAAAAAAAAUAAAAAAAAAAUAAAAUAAAAUAAAACCGACAGCAUAGCCUAGAAAACCAAUUGCCUCCUAUUAAAAACCAAGAAAAAGUCCAUGUGGUAAGAAAACCAAGAAAAUAAAUUCCAUGGAAAAAAAUUGACAUCAAGCAUGGCAAAAGUGGGAAAGUGGAAUUCAUUUUCUAUUUUCCAAGGAAAUCAUGGCCUAUCAAACAUGGCCUUAGGUCAAGUUGAUGGAUUAUUUGCUUUUAUUUAUUUUUAUGGGUCUACUUUCAUUGGUUACUUAUUUUCGUUUUUUGUCCUUAUACAAGCAAGUCCGUGGUUGUUAGGUCUGAAUGAAAUGAACUAUCCUCUCAUUACUGAAUUAAAAAAUUGCCUUCUUUCUUAUUUCAUUAGUCUUCGUUUACUUAAAUCAAUACAGAAAGACUUUCAUGAUUAAUUUACCAAAGUAAUACAGAUGUUGGGAAGGACGUAUACAUCUAUGAUGUACUACUACUAAUAAAUAACGACCACCAGGGGCAGCAGCACGGUCCAGUUUUUCAGCCCAUUUCAUUUUGAUGGAUUAAAGGUUUUUUAAUUUUUUAUAUGUUAAAAAUAUUUUUUUUCGUGUAAUUUUUUUUUUUUUGACAUAUUAAUCUGACUUGGAAUUUAUUUUAGUCUGAUUCCAAAUCCCCUCCUCAACAACACUAUGCCAUUUGAGAACUAUUAUUUAUAUGUACAAAUAUUCAAUUUCACACAAAAAGUGCAAUUUUCACACCAUCUUAGUUAAUCAUCUUCAACUUAUUACACCAAUUAUACUCAAAAUCAAUCGUUUCCUUUAUUUCCUUAUUUUUAAUUCUCUACAAUAAAUUUUGAAAGUUCAAAUUAUUUAGACCCAAUGUACGGAAUUAAUCACUUAAAAGUAAUAAGUCACUUCUUAAUUGUUUCUAGAUGAUUAAUGUUAAAUUCAAUUUAACCUUAUGUGUCAAUCAAAUAUUUUAAUCAAUCAGAUCAAAAGCAAUAAAUAAAUUAACACUAGAUAUGAUCACGGAGGAAAACUCUUCUAUGGGAUCAAAAACCUCUAGGAAAACUUUCCAAUAAACUCUACUAGAAAAAUUAACUUACAAUUAAUUCAAACAUUGCCAUACCUUACCUGACUGUUGCCACAUAGUUUGCAAAUUACCAAGAAACUCUUUUGGUUGUGCGCCCUGCACUUUUUAGAACUUUGGACCACUUUUCUCUCAUGUGGAUCACUAAGAACGAACUCGUCCCCAAUCGAAACUCUGAUCACUUCCUGGAUUUUUAGAACUCUAACGGACAUGUUGGAAGUAAGUGGGUGAUUUGGUGUUUAAUCAAUAGAUCUUUCUGUGUUUUGAUUUGUGGUAUAAUAUAGAUAAUUCUGGCUCAACCUAUCAAAGUAUGUUCGUGAUGAAUUAUGAAUAAGUAAUCAAGAGGCUAAAUCAAGAGAACUUUGGCCAGUGUUUUGGAUAUUGAAAUAAUGUUCUCUAUAAUGAUUGCACAUAUAUCUUCAUCAAAAAGUAAAUCCGGAUUUAUUAACAGAGUAUUCAUUAUCUCCUUCAAUGUUUGAGAAAAUAUGGUGCGAUAGUUCAAUGAAUAAUUCCAUGUUCCAAACAAAAUUGUUUGAAAGGGGAAUCAUAAUUUCUAUCCCUAUCACUUUUUUAUUGCAUCAAUCUUUUUCUUAAGUGGAUUUUCAACCUUUGACUUAUAGUGUUUAAACACUUCAAUUGUUUCGUCUUUGCUUUUGAGUAAACACACAUAGCAAUAUUGAGUAUAAUCAUUGAUAAAGUAUAGUACUUUAUAAGAAACUUCUGAUGAUUUUCGUUAUGAAGAAUGAAAAUAGUAUCAUUAAUCUUGAGCUCUAGAGCUAUGUCUUCAUUGUUUAUAGUUCUAACUCGCAAAUUGACUCUUACUUCAAGACGUUAUCUGAGGCAAUUAUACUGUUUCAAAUAAAAGAUGUAAACUAUUAUUUAGUCAAAAGUCUAUUUCUCUUCUUGGCUAACUGAUCGAAGGAAGAGAAUAUGAUGCCCAAUUAAUUUAGACCAAGUGCAUGUAAGGAAUUGCAAGCAAUGUAAUGCAGGGGAAACUAAGGCCCCGUUUGAUUGCACGAAAUUUUCCAUGGAACUUGGAAUUCGAAUUCCAACUUCCACUUUUGGCCUGUUUGAUUGACAAAAUUUUCCAGGGAAUUGAUUUUCCAUGAAUUUCUAGGUACAACACCUUAAAGCGUGAUUUUCCACCUUUUUUUUCCUAGGGGAUAGAUGGUUUUUGGUUUUCCACCUUUUUUUAUUUUUUGCUUUUUUUAUUUUUUUUUAAUUGUUGGCAAUGGGAACAAAUUUUAGGAAUAAUUGUAAAAGAGGAUAUCCCUGAAAUUGACAAUUUCCACGUAAAACAAAGUCAAACGAACAUCAAAAAAUACUUUUACUUCAACAUUUUCCACGUGAAAAAUUUAUAUAAUCAAACACAAUAAUUUACAAUUUCCAUGAAAACAAUUUCUAGGUAAUUCAAUUCCUUGAAAUUCAUUUUCUUUCCAUGUAAUUUUCCUACUUGUAAUCAAACGCACCCUAAGUGUAUACAAAAAUGUGAGCAAGUGAAUAGCUAUGUUGCUCACAUCUUUCGUUACUUUCUGUUGUUGUGAUUGUUUUGAUUAUAGAAUUUUAUGUUUAAUCGGAUCCGAAUUUUAGUCUCGUCUCUUUUGGUUUAGUGAGUCAGGCGGGUUGGCAAGCAAACUGAAUGGAGAGUGUAUAGGUCUUUUUAGUUAUUAAUGCACCUGUAACUUCGUGUGUGUAGUAAAGAGAGGAACUAAUCAAUUUUGUAGUUUAAAAUCGGAAGCCAUAAUUCUUAAAUUGGUCAAUUGUAAACUGUAUAUGUUGCUAGGGAUCAUUGGCACUAUUUAACCAAUCUUAUAUUAUUUAAUGGAUCUAUAUUUCUGGAGAGUGAUUGCACAUAUAUCUUCAUCAAAAUGUAUGAAAUGCCUACGUGUGAUGGAAAAAUGAAUACAUCCCUACAAGUUAAUGAGUAUUUAGGUGAUCAAUGGUGAGUUUGAAGAGGCUUCAAGAUGAGUUUGAUUAUUAUGCACCCAAGUUCUCUAGGUAUAACAAUCUGGAUCUCUAUAUGGUUUCUUUGUGGAGGCAGUAGUUCUACUACACGGGGAAUAUCAAAUUGAGCAAGACUGUUAAAUGAGAUGGUAACUGUAUUGGGCUAUAGGAACUCAGAAAUUUGGCUGAUGUGAUUCCUGGGAGAGUAAUCCUCAAUUUUGGCUAGCUAAACUCAGCUACUGGAUCAAGAUGUCGAUGUUAUGAUUAUAUGAUUGAUCCUCUGUGUGUAUGCCUUCCUCCUAUUGCUUGUCCCCACCCAAUAGAACUUGUGAAUAUCUGGUUGGCUAAGUUUUAAUCGCGGAAUUUAUUGUCAUUCGUAGAUUUGAGGCUACUAAUUCUUGCAUCACUUGGUGUCUAUCUACAUUACCCACCUCUACAGUAAGGGUUUAUUUUAAAACUCAUUUCUCUCGUAAUUGUGGGCAAUGUGACGUGUUUAUGCUUUACAAUAUUAUCCUAGUGAGGUAAUAAAUGAAGUUCUUAAACCAAUUUUCAUGUUCUUCCUUUGUUCCUCACUCUGCGAUUAUACCUACAUCUAAUAUCACAUGCUUAUCUUUCUUUUGUUGAGAUGAACAUGGACCAUAGUAGUGUUUAGCAAAGUAGUGUGUUUUAACUUAAUAGGAGCCACCCUUAGCAUGUUAGUAUUUUAUGAGCGAUGUUUGUGCUUAGUUUUGUUGGUGUUGGUGUUCGAUUUUGAUGCCCAUUAUAUCUGAGAAAUCAGAUGUCGAAUACUUUAUCGACACUAUGGUUCGGCUCUACCCGAUAACGACCAACACUUUUGGAAGCCCCAAGUUGUAGUUGAGUUGAAUUGAGUUUAUUGGUCUUGGUUUUGGUUAUUAAGUUGUCCAAUUGAUGGCCCAGUUUAGAGGUAGUUUAAGUGGCAGCCCACUUAAAGUUUCUAGGCCCAACUUUAGGGGUAACCAAAUGCAUCCAUAUAUAUUCACUUGGUUUCCUAGCCGCGUGUGCGUGUGCUACAAUAAUAGAAGGGAGAGUGUGAGAAAGUUUGGGGGGGAAUCGGGGAGAUUUCCACCAUUGUUGUUUAUCCUUUCUUCCCCAUUUGUAGUCACCACCUUGUACCUUUGUGGGUACUAAAUAGAGAGCAAACAGAGAGGGUAAAGAGGGCAACCAAAGUGUUUGGAAGUUUUGUGUCGAGCUUGAGUUAGGUGGUAUUCAUUUGAUUGGUUUUUCUGAGCCCCGAUCAAGAUUUCUUGAUAAUUUUCUUGACAUUUUGGGUCGAAAUCUUGAUGAUCCUCCUUACUCAAAUAGAACAAGCCAAAUCCUUGUUGAGUCUUUACUGCUAAGCUUGCAUGCACGAGCCGAACUAGAACUGUAUUUUAGGGUUAGUGAAACUAGAGAGCUGGAGUGGAAAUGGACUUUCUCGUGGGUUAUGUUUUUAAGUCAAUUAUACGAAGUAAAAGAACAAAAAUAACAUUUUUGGUCCAAACUUUAAGUGGGCUACAAAUUUGUCACUAUGGUUGCACACGCCUAAUUACUUGGCUGCCGAAUCCAAUUUGAGGUACAUGUGCCUCAAAUUGUCAUUUGAUGGCUUUUCGUUUGUCAAGAUAAGCUACAGAGUUGAAUGAAAUAUAAUUAAGUAUUUAAUCUUGGUGUUAGCUCUCCUAAAAAAAUUGGUGAUUCGAUCUCAACUUCUCGUAUUGGUACACUAUCAGUGACUGUCACCAAUUUACUUCAUUCAUUAACUGUCAAAACUUUGAAAGUUAUAAAAUGCAAAAAAAAAAAAAAAAAAAUAAUAAUAAUAAUAAUAAAUAAAUAAACAAAAAUAAAUAAAGAUAAAAUUACAAGUUGUUUUGCCAAACCUAUGCUUUUCAAGAAUCUUUCAUGCUUUUAAACUUGGAUUCCGCUGAUAUGUGACUUUGGUUAAUUGGUUGUUGUAGAUACAGAAGAAGGGGAUCAAACAAGAGAUAAUCGUGAGAAAGCUAGAAAACGACCAAGAAUUGAGUGUGGUAUUUCUGUAUUUGGGUGUUGAGAUCUUCUAUUCAUUUAUGAUGUAGUUUUUUCAUGUAGAUUAAGACCAUGUUUGAUUUGGAUUAAAAUCUUAAGUCAACGUCAAUAAAUAAUUUUAAUUACAUAUUUCAUGGAACUCACAGUUUUUCGACCAUACAUUUUUAUCAUAUUUUAUCAAGAUGUACUAAAAAUCUGAUUUUAAUCUACAUCAAUCAUGGGCUAAAAAUUAGAUGUGUUAUGAUUCAUAAUUUGGAUAUCAUAGAAUGACACAAAUUUACAAUACGUAUUCUUCCGUAUACUAAGAUAAAAUUUAUACUUGCUUCUCGUCCCAAAUUGAAAUUUAUCAAUAUCAUUAAUUAGCCAUGUUUGGCCCCUAUUUUCUAAAAUUCAUUUUCAAGAAUACAUUUAAUGAGACCACAACUAUUACCAAAUUUUCAGCCACACAUUCCAUUAUUUUUAAUUAAAAUCUAUUAAUUUUUAUUUUUAUUUUUUAUCUAAACCAAACAAGGGUUUGAUUCUUUAAUUCUAAGCUUAGAGGAAAUGAGGAUAAUUGUUGUUGCGUAUUGUGAUACUUGGCCAACCUACCUGGGCUAAUGGCCCAUUUAGACCGAACCACGUGGCACUCCAGCCGAGGUGGUAUAUAUUGUCGAGGUUGUCUAUAGCCGAAGCCCUUCAAGCUGAAGUCCACUAGCCGAGGCGCCCUUUUAACGAGGCCUGUGAAUGUAAUAGAGGUCCACAUGCUGAGGCCUAUGAACCAAAGUCAUGAUGCUGAAGCUGGUUGAAGUUAGUUGAAGCCAUCAAGUGGAAGUAUUGUAUGAAAUGGCCGAAGCCCCGAAACUGAUGCAGGAGCCUCCGAACCACAAGGGAGCAUCCUCUGUAGUCACUUCUCCCAAGAGAUCGCCUGCACAAAGAUCUUAUUCGAAUGAUUGAUGGAAUGUUUGUCAUAAGCAUAAAUGUCAAGUCUUGUCAUUAGUAUGGGGCUCUGCACAUGUAAUAAAUGCAUCGCAAGCUAGCAAGUCAAAUCUCAUGCCUAGGAUAAGAUGUUUGAAUCAAAGAGAUGAGGCCACGUGACACCUCAUCCAAGGGCUCUCAUUUCACAUAUAACACUAUAAAUACUUUCCUUGUGUAAUAUCAAAAAGCGAAUGCAAGAAUCAAUACAAAGAACUACACUUUACUCAAUUCUCUCUCAUUUACUUGCAAUACACAAAUCGAGUUUAUACACAUUUACAUAUACAUUUACAAACACCGGUUGGUAAUUAUUGUACAAUCGGAUCAUGAACAACCCGCUGGAUUCUGAACUUCACCGUCCUGUGUCGUUGCGCUACUCCCAUGCCAUUUGAACCACUCGUUUUAGACCGUCUACGUGUUUUAGCGUGUUGGAUGCGCGAGUGAGACCGACAUCUAUUGGCAACAUUUUUUGAGGUCAACAAUUGUGAUUACAAGAAAGGAAGUUUCCUUAUUCAUUCUAACCUUUGUCAAGCCAAGAAACGAAUAAAGGGCCAGAAUAAUUUUCCUUUACUCCAACUAUAGGGCCAGAAAGGAUAAACUUUCUGUAGCGUUACCCCCGAAUUAAGGCAAGAAUAAUAUUCUUUACUAUAAAAUCAAGUUUGAAUUUGUUCCUCCCCUCUCAGUGUAUAGAUAUAGGUGUAUUGAAGGCUACUACUUGCACUUGAAAACACCACAUUUGUGUACUCUGUUAGACCGUCUUGCGAUUUCUGUUAGUAAAAUUUUCCAGCCAGGUUAGUAAUAAGAAUAUUAUUGUGAUUGCUUAUAGAGUAUUUAGCUUUUAAAUAUUUUUUGGAUAUAACAAUUUGUUGCUGUGUGACAAACUUUAUCAAUUAUAUCGUCUAGUAUCGUAACAAGAAAUACACAUAAAAUGUUAUCAAUUUAUGUAGAAUAUAUGUGCAAUACAAUAAAAAGAAGAUACUGAAUAAAAAGGUGGUACACCAAACCAUGCAAGUUUGAGUUACCUGUUUCGUAUCAUUUAAAAUCUAGAUUUUAAUUUUAGAGCUUGUUUGGUUCGGAUUAAAAUCUGAUUUUAAUCCAAGUUUAAGUCAAAUAAUCUAGAAAGAAAAGAAGUUAAGUGGAAAUUAAUAUAAUUUUAAGGUGAAGGGAGAUACAAAAUGGGAAUGUCAGUUGCGGCGAUGGGCAUGUUUAGGUGCAACAGUUCAAAAUUUUUUAUUUAUUUAUUUUUUAAUGUAAUAUCGGGACCUAACGUUGGAUAAGUUUUUCCAAUUCAACCUAUUAGUCCGAUUCAAAUUUUAUAACAUUGGUAUUUAUAGAUCCAUAUUGAAAAAAUAUUAAAGAGAAUAUACAAUUUUAAUCUUUCAAGAUGACUUUGCAUAUUUUCGAUGCUAUAUAGAUAUACGUGCUAAGUUUUUAAAAUUAUGUCUUAUCUCUUUUUUCAAUGUCUAUACGAUGGACUUGACAUGCUCUAUUGAUUAACCAUAUUAACGUAUUGCAUUAUUUACCUCAUUGCUACUUACACUAAGGAUGAUUAAGUUAAAAUAAUAAGUUUUGUGACUUUAUCUCUAUUAAGUUAUAAGUUCGUCAUACUACUAAUAAAAUAAUGACAAAACUGUGCCACUAAUCUUUGAGCUAUUUUCUAUUGCUUGAUCAGAUUUCACAUUUGAGAGAAAACAAGAUUAGAUGGCGGAGUCAGCAAUAAUUACAGCUGUCAUUAACCAAGCAGUAGAGAUAGGUGCCAACCUACUUGUCGAAAAAGGUUCACGCUUGUAUCACUUGAAGAAGGACAUAGAAUGGAUCGAAAGCAAGAUGAGACACUUCAAAUCGUGUCUCAAAGAUGCAGAAUUGAAACGAGAUGGAAGCUAUGAAGUUGCUAACUUGAUAAAUGACAUGAGAGAUCUCGCUUUGGACAUCGAGGAUAUUUUGGAUACUUACCUUUCAGAGAUUGAAUCACACCAGGGAAAGAGACCAUUUCGAUUCGUUCAGCGUGCUUCUUGUAUACUAUGUUAUGGUGCCACAGCAAAUGCCGUUGCCCUGGAAAUUGAGGAAAUCAAGAGACGGGCCCAAGAAAUUGAAGCCACUAGAGAAAGAUGCCGUAUUAAUCUCGAUGAGGAUGGAGGUAUGCUGAUUUUAUCCAUUUAGGUCAAUAUAAAUCGGAACUCUUUUCUUCACCAACUGUUGAUUUAUCAAGCUCUAAAUUGCACAGUCAUCUAUAAAUAUGAGAAAGAGGGCUAUUUUUCUUCGUCCAAUUAGUAUGAAAUAGCUUCUAUGGUAGUUAUCCAAAUAAUUAUGUUUUUGUAAGUUAUAAUUAUUGAACCAAAUAUCUUAUGAAUAUGAACCACAUUAAAUCGAACAGGUAAUGCAGAUAUGGAUGUAUGGGAUCGAAGAAAAAAAAUUUUAGUUGCCCCGGAGUCAAUAUUCGUCGGUCGUAGAGAUACACUGCAGGAAGUCAAGGAAAAAUUGAGGAGCUCAAACUUAGAUUGUAAAAUGAUAUGUAUUGUUGGGGACGCAGGUGUGGGUAAGACUACUGCAGGUAAAAAAAUAUAUAAAGAACUGAAAAAUGAAUUUACUUCUUCUGCCUUAGUCUGUCUCAAAUGAGCCUAGACUCCAAGAGCUUCUACUUGAAAUAGCGAAGCAAGUUGGCCUUGAAAAGGAAAAGAUGCACGAAAAUUUGGAGGUCAACUUGCGUUCUCUUCUCAAUGAAAACAGGUACUUAAUUUUUCUUGAUGAUAUUUGGAAAAAUGAAACUUGGGAUGAGUUAAUAAAUGUUAUCCCCAUCAAUUCGAGAAAUUGUAGCAGAAUUAUCAUUACUUCUAGGUAUACUCAUGUGGGCAGAUAUAUUGGUGGUGAAAGCUCAUUGAUUGAAUAGAAACUUUUAGAUCAAGAAAAGAGCUGGGAACUCUUCUCCAAGUCGAUGAAAUCUUCUUCAGAAAAUAUGAGUGAGAUAUUUCCUCCGAUAGAAUUGGAAGAUAUUGCUAAGAAGAUAGUAGAAAGAUGUGGUGGGUUGCUAUUGGCAAUUGUGGUUGUGGUGGGUAUGUUGCGGCAGAGACGAAGAGAUAAACAUGCAUGGAAAGGGGUGCUUGACAGCUUCAGCACAAGUGUUGUAAAUAAGUGUUCAGAUAUCUUGUCUCUGAGUUAUAAAGAUUUAUCUCCUGACUUGAGGCCUUUUUUUCUUGACUUUGGGCUCUUCCCCGAAGAUGAAGAAAUUAAUGUGUCUGAUUUGUGCAAGGCUUGGAUUGCCGAGAAAUUGAUCCAGGAUGAUGGAAAUCAAAAUCCUGAUGACAUUGCGGAUGCUAAAUUAGACAUGUUAAGUGAUAGAAAUUUAAUUCAAGUUUCUGAGAGAGAUUUCGAUGGAAGGUUGAUAAGUUGUUGCAUUCAUGAUCUUCUACACGUAUUUUGCAUCGAAAUAGCCAAGGAGAACAAUUUCUAUUUUACAUGCCAUAAUAUUGGCUCUAAUUCUUUUAAAACUCUUCGUAGGCUUACCAUUGACAACAUCAGUCAAUAUUCUUUUUCAAAUUCUAAAACUCCAAAACUUCGUACCUUGCUCUAUUUCAGUAAAAAUGUGUCUUUGAUUCCUAAUGAGAUAGGAAACUUGAGUAGCUUGACUUGCCUUAAGUUGAGUGGGACAUUUAAAAGGAUGCCUUCAACCAUAAGGAAUCUCAAGAAAUUGGUGACAUUGGAUAUUGGAGAAGCAGAAUUUCUUUUUCAAUUGCCAAGAACUAUUUUGAGGAUGAAGCAUUUGAAGCAUUUACUCUUAGGUGAUGCAAUGUUUGAGUCUAACAAAUGCACAAAAUUGAAUGUCAGAAAUGAGGUGUGUUUACCGAACAUAGAAACUUUAAGUGACGUGCCUGGUACCAUUUUAAAAGCUAGAUCAUUACAAAAACUUUCCAACUUGAGAGAGCUGUGUUUAUAUGACAUAAAUGACGAACAUUUUAAUGAAAUAUCUGGUAAAACACCCAUAUCGGAGAAGCUCUAAAACUUGAACUUGACGGUGACUCAGAAGGUUAAGAAGUUAAACCUAUCCCACUAUGACCAUCUUACUAAGUUGACUCUCAUAGGAAGUUCUAUUCAUUCAUUAACGCCCGACAUCAUUGAAUUCCCUCCAAACCUUAUCUACCUUGUCCUUAAUCAGAUGCCAUUCACUGAGGAUCCAAUGAAGGUACUAAAAGAACUACCCAGACUAGAGAUCCUUUGUUUGUUGUACUGUAGGUAUAGCGACUCGAUCGCGCUAGAUUUAUCAGGAGAAAACAGCUUUCCAGAGCUUCUAGUGUUGACAAUUGAAGUGUCGAUAUUUUAAGGAAUAGAAAUUCCCGAGUUAAUUGU
Molecule: long non-coding RNA, 13214 nt
Filed under: Olea europaea (common olive)
Lineage: Eukaryota; Viridiplantae; Streptophyta; Magnoliopsida; Lamiales; Oleaceae
Description: long non-coding RNA (OEUR_LNC010276)
Source: RNAcentral